This 617-nucleotide ribosomal RNA is filed under the name Salmonella enterica. Its description in RNAcentral is "partial 23S ribosomal RNA". It matches the Rfam family "Bacterial large subunit ribosomal RNA", at positions 593 to 1211 of the family's 2925-position model. Lineage: Bacteria; Pseudomonadati; Pseudomonadota; Gammaproteobacteria; Enterobacterales; Enterobacteriaceae. The record is from RNAcentral.
GUGACUGCGUACCUUUUGUAUAAUGGGUCAGCGACUUAUAUUCUGUAGCAAGGUUAACCGAAUAGGGGAGCCGGAGGGAAACCGAGUCUUAAUUGGGCGUUAAGUUGCAGGGUAUAGACCCGAAACCCGGUGAUCUAGCCAUGGGCAGGUUGAAGGUUGGGUAACACUAACUGGAGGACCGAACCGACUAAUGUUGAAAAAUUAGCGGAUGACCUGUGGCUGGGGGUGAAAGGCCAAUCAAACCGGGAGAUAGCUGGUUCUCCCCGAAAGCUAUUUAGGUAGCGCCUCGUGAAUUCAUCUCCGGGGGUAGAGCACUGUUUCGGCCAGGGGGCCAUCCCGGCUUACCAACCCGAUGCAAACUGCGAAUACCGGAGAAUGUUAUCACGGGAGACACACGGCGGGUGCUAACGUCCGUCGUGAAGAGGGAAACAACCCAGACCGCCAGCUAAGGUCCCAAAGUCAUGGUUAAGUGGGAAACGAUGUGGGAAGGCCCAGACAGCCAGGAUGUUGGCUUAGAAGCAGCCAUCAUUUAAAGAAAGCGUAAUAGCUCACUGGUCGAGUCGGCCUGCGCGGAAGAUGUAACGGGGCUAAACCAUGCACCGAAGCUGCGGCAGCGA